This 520-nucleotide ribosomal RNA is filed under the name uncultured Glomus. Its description in RNAcentral is "SSU rRNA". It matches the Rfam family "Eukaryotic small subunit ribosomal RNA", at positions 569 to 1093 of the family's 1831-position model. Lineage: Eukaryota; Fungi; Glomeromycota; Glomeromycetes; Glomerales; Glomeraceae. The record is from RNAcentral.
AGCAGCCGCGGUAAUUCCAGCUCCAAUAGCGUAUAUUAAAGUUGUUGCAGUUAAAAAGCUCGUAGUUGAAUUUCGGGACUAAUAUGUCGGUCGUGCCUCGGUACGUACUGGUUUAUUGGUUUCUCCUUUCUGAAGAACCAUGAUGUCAUUUAUUUGGUGUCGUGGGGAAUCAGGACUGUUACUUUGAAAAAAUUAGAGUGUUUAAAGCAGGCUCACGCUCGAAUACAUUAGCAUGGAAUAAUGAAAUAGGACGUUCGAUCCUAUUUUGUUGGUUUCUAGGAUUGACGUAAUGAUUAAUAGGGAUAGUUGGGGGCAUUAGUAUUCAAUUGUCAGAGGUGAAAUUCUUGGAUUUAUUGAAGACUAACUACUGCGAAAGCAUUUGCCAAGGAUGUUUUCAUUAAUCAAGGACGAAAGUUAGGGGAUCGAAGACGAUCAGAUACCGUCGUAGUCUUAACCAUAAACUAUGCCGACUAGGGAUCGGAUGAUGUUAAUUUUUAAUGACUCAUUCGGCGCCUUACGG